CGCACCUUGCGCCCCUUGGUAUUCCAUGGGGCACACCUGUUUGAGUGUCACGCUCCCUCUCGCUCAAUGAAUGGUCACCUGUUCAUUGCACGGACUUGAGUGUUGCCGUCGUUGGCUCGCUCGAAAUGCAUUAGCUGGCUGAAGGUGAAGAGCUUUUGGUGUAAUACUUUCUUUGCGCCGCUGGGCUCUGCAUCUGAUUGCAAGCUUCUAAUCGCCCGCGAGGGCAACUUUUAAGACUUUGGCCUCAAAUCAGGUGGGACUACCCGCUGAACUUAA
RNAcentral lists this unclassified non-coding RNA (276 nucleotides) under Phaeosphaeriaceae sp. Its description in RNAcentral is "partial contains 5.8S ribosomal RNA, internal transcribed spacer 2, and large subunit ribosomal RNA". Lineage: Eukaryota; Fungi; Ascomycota; Dothideomycetes; Pleosporales; Phaeosphaeriaceae. The record is from RNAcentral.